Molecule: long non-coding RNA, 475 nt
Organism: Mercenaria mercenaria
Lineage: Eukaryota; Metazoa; Mollusca; Bivalvia; Venerida; Veneridae
Exons: 3
Source: RefSeq, a predicted model, not a curated record
GACCUCAGGAAAACUGGAACAGUGAAGAAACGGUGUGUGAUUACAGACUUUUGUGUGAGGUUUUGAAAGUUAGGUAGGCGACUCUAGGCUGAGGAGCUCAGAAAACUGUUUACUGCCUCCUUAAGAGCAAAUCUUGAAAAUUUGUGUGUGGUUACAGACUUUUGUGUGAGGUUUUGAAAGUUAGGUAGGCGAGUCUAGGCUGAGGAGCUCAGAAAACUGUUUACUGCCUCCUUUGUCAUAAAGCCAUACAUGUCGUUUAAAUGAAGUAGAUUUUUGUUUUACAAGUUUGAAGAAAACAAAUAUGGGUUAAUGAAAACGGAUAUUCUGCUCUAAAAAGGGAUCUCCAACUCCACAUAGAAGGAGGGAGCUUUUGUUACGAAGUAAGAAAAGAUCAAUAAUGGAUGAUGAAUGUUCGGUAAAGUGUGUCGGCUCAUCAAUACAUUGUGUAAGCCCAAACUGGGUACAUAAAGCAGUA